RNAcentral lists this ribosomal RNA (305 nucleotides) under uncultured Planctomycetota bacterium. RNAcentral's name for it is "bacterial SSU rRNA". It matches the Rfam family "Bacterial small subunit ribosomal RNA", at positions 29 to 351 of the family's 1533-position model. Lineage: Bacteria; Pseudomonadati; Planctomycetota. The record is from RNAcentral.
AAUGAACGUUGGCGGCGUGGAUUAGGCAUGCAAGUCGAGCGAGACCCCAGCAAUGGGGAAAAGCGGCGAAAGGGACAGUAAUGUGUAGAUUAUCUGCCCUCAGGUCCGGGAUAGCUGCGGGAAACUGCAGGUAAUACCGGAUAACAUCUCCGGAUCAAAGGUGUGAUUCCGCCUGAGGAUGAGUCUACAUCCUAUUAGCUAGUUGGCAGGGUAAUGGCCUACCAAGGCAUUGAUGGGUAGCGGGUGUGAGAGCACGACCCGCGUCAUUGGGACUGAGACACUGCCCAGACACCUACGGGUGGCUG